GAUGAAGAAGUAGCGAAAUGCGAUACUUGGUGUGAAUUGCAGAAUCCCGUGAACCAUCGAGUCUUUGAACGCAAGUUGCGCCUCAAGCCAUUAGGUUGAGGGCACGUCUGCCUGGGCGUCACAUAUCGUUGCCUGAUGCCAGUUUCCUCGUGAUGGGUGACUGUGCAGGGCGAAUGAUGGCUUCCCGUGAGCAUUGUUGCCUCAUGGUUGGUUGAAAAUUGAGUCCUUGGUAGGGAGCGCCGUGAUAGAUGGUGGUUGAGUGACGAACGAGACCCAAUCAUGUGAGACCCCUACCGAAUUUGGCCUUCAUGACCCACAUGCGUCUUUGGAACGCUCAUGACGAGACCUCAGGUCAGGCGGGGCUACCCGCUGAGUUUAAGCAUAUCAAUAAGCGGAGGA
RNAcentral lists this unclassified non-coding RNA (399 nucleotides) under soil metagenome. RNAcentral's name for it is "partial contains 5.8S ribosomal RNA, internal transcribed spacer 2, and large subunit ribosomal RNA". The stretch from base 1 to 121 matches the Rfam family "5.8S ribosomal RNA", at positions 35 to 154 of the family's 154-position model. The record is from RNAcentral.